Molecule: ribosomal RNA, 424 nt
Filed under: uncultured prokaryote
Description: bacterial SSU rRNA
Rfam family: Bacterial small subunit ribosomal RNA
Source: RNAcentral
UGGGGAAUAUUCCGCAAUGGGCGCAAGCCUGAUCCAGCCAUGCCGCGUGAGUGAUGAAGGCCCUAGGGUUGUAAAGCUCUUUCGGCGGGGAAGAUAAUGACGGUACCCGCAGAAGAAGGUCCGGCUAACUCCGUGCCAGCAGCCGCGGUGAUACGGAGGGACCUAGCGUUGUUCGGAAUUACUGGGCGUAAAGCGCACGUAGGCGGAUCUGUUAGUCGGGGGUGAAAGCCCGGGGCUCAACCCCGGAAUAGCCUCCGAUACUGCAGGUCUUGAGAGUGAGAGAGGUGAGUGGAAUUCCUAGUGUAGAGGUGAAAUUCGUAGAUAUUAGGAAGAACACCAGUGGCGAAGGCGGCUCACUGGCUCAUUUCUGACGCUGAGGUGCGAAAGCGUGGGGAGCAAACAGGAUUAGAUACCCCGGUAGUCC